UACGUAGGGCGCAAGCGUUGUCCGGAAUUAUUGGGCGUAAAGAGCUCGUAGGCGGCUUGUCACGUCGGGUGUGAAAGCCCGGGGCUUAACCCCGGGUCUGCAUUCGAUACGGGCUAGCUAGAGUGUGGUAGGGGAGAUCGGAAUUCCUGGUGUAGCGGUGAAAUGCGCAGAUAUCAGGAGGAACACCGGUGGCGAAGGCGGUUCUCUGGGCCUGUACUGACGCUGAGGAGCGAAAGCGUGGGGAGCGAACAGG
RNAcentral lists this ribosomal RNA (253 nucleotides) under uncultured bacterium. Its description in RNAcentral is "partial 16S ribosomal RNA". It matches the Rfam family "Bacterial small subunit ribosomal RNA", at positions 524 to 776 of the family's 1533-position model. The record is from RNAcentral.